RNAcentral lists this ribosomal RNA (1508 nucleotides) under metagenome. RNAcentral describes it as "bacterial SSU rRNA". It matches the Rfam family "Bacterial small subunit ribosomal RNA". The record is from RNAcentral.
AGAGUUUGAUCCUGGCUCAGGACGAACGCUGGCGGCGUGCCUAAUACAUGCAAGUCGAGCGGACAGAUGGGAGCUUGCUCCCUGAUGUUAGCGGCGGACGGGUGAGUAACACGUGGGUAACCUGCCUGUAAGACUGGGAUAACUCCGGGAAACCGGGGCUAAUACCGGAUGGUUGUUUGAACCGCAUGGUUCAAACAUAAAAGGUGGCUUCGGCUACCACUUGCAGAUGGACCCGCGGCGCAUUAGCUAGUUGGUGAGGUAAUGGCUCACCAAGGCAACGAUGCGUAGCCGACCUGAGAGGGUGAUCGGCCACACUGGGACUGAGACACGGCCCAGACUCCUACGGGAGGCAGCAGUAGGGAAUCUUCCGCAAUGGACGAAAGUCUGACGGAGCAACGCCGCGUGAGUGAUGAAGGUUUUCGGAUCGUAAAGCUCUGUUGUUAGGGAAGAACAAGUGCCGUUCGAAUAGGGCGGUACCUUGACGGUACCUAACCAGAAAGCCACGGCUAACUACGUGCCAGCAGCCGCGGUAAUACGUAGGUGGCAAGCGUUGUCCGGAAUUAUUGGGCGUAAAGGGCUCGCAGGCGGUUUCUUAAGUCUGAUGUGAAAGCCCCCGGCUCAACCGGGGAGGGUCAUUGGAAACUGGGGAACUUGAGUGCAGAAGAGGAGAGUGGAAUUCCACGUGUAGCGGUGAAAUGCGUAGAGAUGUGGAGGAACACCAGUGGCGAAGGCGACUCUCUGGUCUGUAACUGACGCUGAGGAGCGAAAGCGUGGGGAGCGAACAGGAUUAGAUACCCUGGUAGUCCACGCCGUAAACGAUGAGUGCUAAGUGUUAGGGGGUUUCCGCCCCUUAGUGCUGCAGCUAACGCAUUAAGCACUCCGCCUGGGGAGUACGGUCGCAAGACUGAAACUCAAAGGAAUUGACGGGGGCCCGCACAAGCGGUGGAGCAUGUGGUUUAAUUCGAAGCAACGCGAAGAACCUUACCAGGUCUUGACAUCCUCUGACAAUCCUAGAGAUAGGACGUCCCCUUCGGGGGCAGAGUGACAGGUGGUGCAUGGUUGUCGUCAGCUCGUGUCGUGAGAUGUUGGGUUAAGUCCCGCAACGAGCGCAACCCUUGAUCUUAGUUGCCAGCAUUCAGUUGGGCACUCUAAGGUGACUGCCGGUGACAAACCGGAGGAAGGUGGGGAUGACGUCAAAUCAUCAUGCCCCUUAUGACCUGGGCUACACACGUGCUACAAUGGACAGAACAAAGGGCAGCGAAACCGCGAGGUUAAGCCAAUCCCACAAAUCUGUUCUCAGUUCGGAUCGCAGUCUGCAACUCGACUGCGUGAAGCUGGAAUCGCUAGUAAUCGCGGAUCAGCAUGCCGCGGUGAGUACGUUCCCGGGCCUUGUACACACCGCCCGUCACACCACGAGAGUUUGUAACACCCGAAGUCGGUGAGGUAACCUUUUAGGAGCCUGCCGCCGAAGGUGGGACAGAUGAUUGGGGUGAAGUCGUAACAAGGUA